This 245-nucleotide ribosomal RNA is filed under the name uncultured bacterium. RNAcentral's name for it is "partial 16S ribosomal RNA". It matches the Rfam family "Bacterial small subunit ribosomal RNA", at positions 524 to 768 of the family's 1533-position model. The record is from RNAcentral.
UACAGAGGGUGCAAGCGUUAUUCGGAAUUACUGGGCGUAAAGCGCAUGUAGGCGGGUAGGAAAGUCAGAUGUGAAAGCCCCGGGCUCAACUUGGGAAUUGCAUUUGAAACUUCUUAUCUUGAGAUUGGGAGAGGAUGGUAGAAUUCCUAGUGUAGAGGUGAAAUUCGUAGAUAUUAGGAGGAAUACCUGAGGCGAAGGCGGCUAUCUGGCCCAAGACUGACGCUCAGAUGCGAGAGCGUGGGUAG